RNAcentral lists this long non-coding RNA (537 nucleotides) under Helianthus annuus (common sunflower). Its description in RNAcentral is "sRNA HanXRQr2_Chr16g0750521". The record is from RNAcentral. Lineage: Eukaryota; Viridiplantae; Streptophyta; Magnoliopsida; Asterales; Asteraceae.
UCGUUGAUUCUGCAGUCAUCGACCACCGUGGGAAACGCAGCAGUGUCGGAGAAGACGCCGGUUUCUGAUUCCCGCAGACCAGCGAUUGACUUGUUUGAACCAGCAAGCUGCCACCCAUUGCUCUCGUAUCUAUCUCGCUUGGUGACUAAGGGUUUCGUGACAUUUGAUUCAAGCUUAGGAUUUACUAUAGUCAUCGCUAAUUGCUUAAGAUGUGAUACCCGAGCAUAUCCACCUAUGGGGACAUAGGGCGUCAUCAUAGGCACAGUUGACGUGCACCAUUCGUGGCGGUGCGAAAGUCCCACGGCGUCUCUAUGUUGUAUUGUGUGCUAAGUGAUUGCACUUAUUGAUUAUUAAGAGGUGUAUGGAUCGAUCCUAGGAGUGUAAGUGUAAGUGUAAGUGUUAGUGGUAGUGGGAUAGGUGUGAGUGCCCACAUCCCCUCUACAUAAUGGUGCAUUGGAACUGCAGCUAAUGUACAAAAUAUUAGUGUUUAUUGUUAGUGGCUCACAUGGUGUAUUGCUUCUAUCAUUUAUGUGUUAG